Molecule: ribosomal RNA, 226 nt
Filed under: uncultured bacterium
Lineage: Bacteria
Description: partial 16S ribosomal RNA
Rfam family: Bacterial small subunit ribosomal RNA
Source: RNAcentral
GCGUUGUCCGGAAUAAUUGGGCGUAAAGGGCGCGUAGGCGGCUCGGUAAGUCUGGAGUGAAAGUCCUGCUUUUAAGGUGGGAAUUGCUUUGGAUACUGUCGGGCUUGAGUGCAGGAGAGGUUAGUGGAAUUCCCAGUGUAGCGGUGAGAUGCGUAGAGAUUGGGAGGAACACCAGUGGCGAAGGCGACUAACUGGACUGUAACUGACGCUGAGGCGCGAAAGUGUG